AUACGAAAGGUGCAAGCGUUGUUCGGAUUUACUGGGCGUAAAGAGAGUGUAGGUUGGUUAUUAAGUCGGAUGUGAAAUCCCGGGGCUCAACCUCGGAACUGCAUUCGAUACUGGUAGACUAGAGUUCGGGAGGGGUAAGCGGAAUUCCGUGUGUAGCAGUGAAAUGCGUAGAUAUACGGAGGAACACCUGAGGCGAAGGCGGCUUACUGGACCGAUACUGACACUGAGACUCGAAAGCGUGGGUAGCAAACAGGAUUAGAAACCCUAGUAGUCC
This 274-nucleotide ribosomal RNA is filed under the name uncultured bacterium. RNAcentral's name for it is "partial 16S ribosomal RNA". It matches the Rfam family "Bacterial small subunit ribosomal RNA", at positions 523 to 796 of the family's 1533-position model. The record is from RNAcentral.